RNAcentral lists this unclassified non-coding RNA (253 nucleotides) under uncultured Pseudomonadaceae bacterium. Its description in RNAcentral is "contains 16S-23S intergenic spacer region". It matches the Rfam family "Bacterial small subunit ribosomal RNA", at positions 524 to 776 of the family's 1533-position model. The record is from RNAcentral. Lineage: Bacteria; Pseudomonadati; Pseudomonadota; Gammaproteobacteria; Pseudomonadales; Pseudomonadaceae.
UACAGAGGGUCCAAGCCUUAUUCGGAAUUACUGGGCGUAACGUGAGCGUAGGUGGUUUGUUAAGUUGGAUGUGAAAGCCCCGGGAUCAACCUGGGAACUGCAUCCAAAACUGGCAAGCUAGAGUACGGUAGAGGGUGGUGGAAUUUCCUGUGUAGCGGUGAAAUGCGUAGAUAUAGGAAGGAACACCAGUGGCGAAGGCGACCACCUGGACUGAUACUGACACUGAGGUGCGAAAGCGUGGUGAGCAAACAGG